This 89-nucleotide unclassified non-coding RNA is filed under the name Pseudomonas mediterranea. The record is from RNAcentral. Lineage: Bacteria; Pseudomonadati; Pseudomonadota; Gammaproteobacteria; Pseudomonadales; Pseudomonadaceae.
UGUGGGAGCGAGCCUGCUCGCGAUGGCGUAAUGUCAGUCAACUUGAUGUUGGCUGGCCCGACGCUAUCGCGAGCAGGCUCGCUCCCACA